Molecule: ribosomal RNA, 253 nt
Filed under: uncultured bacterium
Lineage: Bacteria
Description: partial 16S ribosomal RNA
Rfam family: Bacterial small subunit ribosomal RNA
Source: RNAcentral
UACGUAGGGUGCGAGCGUUAUUCGGAAUUACUGGGCGUAAAGCGUGCGUAGGCGGUUUUGUAAGCCAGGUGUGAAAUCCCCGGGCUCAACCUGGGAAUGGCAUUUGGGACUGCAAGGCUGGAGUGUGGCAGAGGAGACUGGAAUUCCUGGUGUAGCAGUGAAAUGCGUAGAUAUCGGGAGGAACACCAGUGGCGAAGGCGGCUACCUGGACCAGCACUGACACUGAAGCACGAAAGCGUGGGGAGCAAACAGG